This is a long non-coding RNA of Hemibagrus wyckioides, 1386 nucleotides long. RefSeq lists it as uncharacterized. The transcript is spliced from 3 exons. The record is from RefSeq and is a predicted model, not a curated record. NCBI's taxonomy places the organism in Eukaryota, Metazoa, Chordata, Actinopteri, Siluriformes, Bagridae.
GGAAGAGCUGCAGAGGGUCUAACACACCAGCUGUGCUCCGGCAGACUCGGCCAUGUCCCCUGAACCCAUAAACCUAAUCUACUUUCCUCAGGAUGCAAACAUCUUUACAUGUCACAUCGAAUGUGAGCGACGCUGAAGUCCUGCCGGAGCACGUUCAGCCAUAGACUGAGACCACUGAAGACAACCACAGAACGCCACAGGAGGUCUUUUCUACCACAGACCACCAGACUCUACAGAUGAGGAAGCCAGAGGCGAUGGUGUUGGUGAGGAAAAAUUCCCUGAGACGGUAUGAGAAUGAAACCUUCAGAGGAACCAGAUUUAAAAGGAAAUCCAUCAUCAUCUGGGUGACACCAGAUAGUGUGUUAAAAACAUCAUCCUAAAGUCAAGUGCAAUUGUCUAAUCAGGAGCUAUUAAGCAACAUAUUUCUGUUAUUGUGUGUGCAAAAGAUUUUGUAGGUUUUACUUUCUUUAUGUGUGUGCGUAUGUGUGGGCCCUACUAGUGAAUAGCUGUCCAGCUCACAGGGAUUACAUUGGCCAUGGACUUGGCUUCAGCCGGAAGUUCCCACUGCUCUGGCUAUCUUAGUGGAAAAUGCAUGUUUCUCAGAACUGCUAGAGCUGGUCUUGAUUCAGAUGCAGUGUCAUCAAAAGAUGUGAACACAGAGUUUUGGCUCUAAUUUGUUGUAUUUAGUCUCCACAUAUCCAAUAUCAAUACAAUUGUCUUACAAAGAACAUGCUUGGACAUCAAAAAUUUCUUGUUGACUUAUUGCCUAUCCAGAGAGAGGUCUGCUUUAUGACCUGUUGGGAGAAUGAGAGAACAGCUCCAUAAAAUCUGACACAAGCAAUACAGAGCUCCUACAAAUUUUGAAGCACAUAUUUAUGGUUUUGAGAAGACUAAGAAGAACAUGGCUGGAUUAAAAGAAUACUGAAGCACUAAGUAUCUACUUUAUUAUGUGUGUGGGGGUUUUUAAUAUAUGUGUGGGGCUUUUACAAAGACAUGUCAUAUAGCUGACAACACGCUGAUAUAUCAAUUUGCCCUCUAAUCAUGUUCAUCCUUUUGCUUUCAAAUAUGAUACUACCUUGGAUAUUCCUGUAUAACUACAGUAGUGCUAUCUGGACCAUUGUUUAAAAUUUAAGAUCAAUUUUGGAAAUCCAUUCAAGCUUUUAACCACUGCUUCCGAGAUCAGCCUUGAGCAGACGCUUCAUUUUAAAUAUUAGAAAGGCAUAUUUCCUCUUUGCGUGUAUGAUAAACCUAUUUAUACAUUUUAUAAUGACUCAGACUUGUGCAGAAUAAAUCUAUAUAAAUAAGACAAACUUAUCCGAGAGUGUGCCUAGUUAUGUAGCAUGAACAGCAGAUUAAAUACAUGGUCUUUGGCUUCACUUGUCUUGA